RNAcentral lists this ribosomal RNA (457 nucleotides) under uncultured bacterium. RNAcentral describes it as "bacterial SSU rRNA". It matches the Rfam family "Bacterial small subunit ribosomal RNA", at positions 29 to 507 of the family's 1533-position model. The record is from RNAcentral.
AGCGAACGCUGGCGGCAUGCUUAACACAUGCAAGUCGAGCGCCCAGCAAUGGGAGCGGCGGACGGGUGAGUAACACGUGGGAACAUGCCCUUCGGUACGGAAUAACUCAGGGGAAACUUGUGCUAAUACCGUAUGCGCCCUAACGGGGAAAGAUUUAUCGCCGAAGGAUUGGCCCGCGUCUGAUUAGCUUGUUGGUGGGGUAACGGCCCACCAAGGCUUCGAUCAGUAGCUGGUCUGAGAGGAUGAUCAGCCACAUUGGGACUGAGACACGGCCCAAACUCCUACGGGAGGCAGCAGUGGGGAAUCUUGGACAAUGGGCGAAAGCCUGAUCCAGCAAUGCCGCGUGUGGGAAGAAGGCCUUCGGGUUGUAAACCACUUUUGGCGGGAAAGAAAUGGUCAGUGCUAAUACCACGGAUUGAUGACGGUACCCGCAGAAUAAGCACCGGCUAACUACGUG